Molecule: ribosomal RNA, 468 nt
Filed under: uncultured bacterium
Lineage: Bacteria
Description: partial 16S ribosomal RNA
Rfam family: Bacterial small subunit ribosomal RNA
Source: RNAcentral
GACGAACGCUGGCGGCGUGCUUAACACAUGCAAGUCGAACGGAAAGGCCCUGCUUUUGUGGGGUUCUCGAGUGGCGAACGGGUGAGUAACACGUGAGUAACCUGCCCUUGACUUUGGGAUAACUUCAGGAAACUGGGGCUAAUACCGGAUAGGAUCUCCUGCUGCAUGGUGGGGGUUGGAAAGUUUCGGCUGUUGGGGAUGGACUCGCGGCUUAUCAGCUUGUUAGUUGGGUAGUGGCUUACCAAGGCUUUGACGGGUAGCCGGCCUGAGAGGGUGACCGGCGACAUUGGGACUGAGAUACGGACCAGAGUCCUACGGGAGGCAGCAGUGGGGAAUAUUGCACAAUGGGCGGAAGCCUGAUGAAGCAACGCCGGGUGCGGGAUGACGGCCUUCGGGUUGUAAAAAGCUUUAGCCUGUGACGAAGCGUGAGUGACGGUAAUGGGUAAAGAAGCACCGGCUAACUACGUG